Molecule: long non-coding RNA, 3348 nt
Filed under: Medicago truncatula (barrel medic)
Lineage: Eukaryota; Viridiplantae; Streptophyta; Magnoliopsida; Fabales; Fabaceae
Description: long non-coding RNA (MTRU_LNC000038)
Rfam family: MIR2629 microRNA precursor family (bases 2261-2332)
Source: RNAcentral
UUUAUUUAUAGCUCCACUUUUAUGUUAUUAUACUUGUCGAUGUGGGAUGGGGCGUUUAUUUUUUUUGGUUACAUGAUGGGGCGUUUAGUUAUACACUUUAGAGACAAGAUUUUCUCUUAUAUAUAGGAGAAGAAGCACUAGUAAAGAUCAAAGAAGCAUUUUCAAUUUUCUCUCUUCCCUCACCUGUAGAUUUUGGAGAUUGUUGCCUCUUGCUUGGGUGAAGCUUCUUCUUAGUUUGAUUAGUUGGAAUAGAAAAGAUGUUUGUGUUUGGAUCAAUUGUCAUAGAUAUACAAGGUUUUAUAUUAAUCCCUUUUUUGUGUUUUUAUUAAUUAUUUCAUAUUCUUCAACUUUAGGAUAACACAUUUAUAUCCAUUGCAUCACAAUAUUGCAAAAUUUAUUGUAUGAUUGAUGUUAUUUGUUUGUUGUUAAUUUGGAACUAGAUUUUGACUCACGUGUUGUGCGAGCGAAAAUAUUUUUUUUAUUGAUUAGAUUUAGAUGUGAUAUACCAUAAUAUUAGUUUAAUAAGUUUUUUCUAUCAAAAAAAAUUUAAUAAGGAAAAUGCUAACGAUUAUCUUUGGUGCGUUCUUUAAACACUUUAAAUUAAUGUUAUGUUUUUAAGAAAAGUCGUGUAUUUAAUGCUUUGGAAAUUAUAAUAAUUGAUUUUUUGAAAGAAUAAUUGUUCUUAGGAUCUUAAAGAGUAUCUUGGAGACACUUGUUAGCGAUGUCCUAAUAAUGAUGUAAUUUGGCUUUGAGGAUAAGCUUUGCUUGCUUUAUCAAACAACUUGACAAUGGAAGAUUUUUCUUAAAGUGACGUAUGAAAUGAGACAUUAGAAGAGUCAUGUAAGAGUGACCAAUGUUCCACAAAUCAAGUAUUAAUUCGUCGAGUUUACGUUUAUAGGUACCAAAAUUGUGUCAAUUUGGAGGUAAAUUUGAUUAAACUCGGAAUGUUUGUCUCGGUCAAACUCGGGUAAACUCGGAAUGUAAGUCUAAUGUUUUUUAUUUUUUUAUUUUUUAUGGUUUUAUUAACAACUUUAGAAACUUGUGAAACUUGCCUUUUUGGAUGGUUAAGACUUAAGAGACUUAUGACUUUGCAAGUUUAUUUUGUAUUUUGAUGUUUAGUUGAACAAAAUGCUUUAUUAUGGUGGUUAAAAACCUUUAUAAUUUAGUCAUAUUUUACACUAUUGGACUAUUUACAACAUUAUAUUAGUUCAUAUGUCAUGUAAAUAAUAAAUUUUAUUUAAUUUUAAUUUUAAUUUUAAUUUUAGGUAAACUCGUACGAGUUCUCGAGUCGAGUUUACCUAAGCAAAAUAAAUUGAGGUAAACUCUCGAGUUAUAAAACCUUAAGAGUGACAAAUCAAAUAUUGAGGUUUUUUUUGGUUUACAAAUGACAGCUUAUAUACAAAAUUGGGGUUAUUUGAAUUUUGUUCUUAAAUUAUGAUAACCGGUUUUUGAUAACCAAAUUUGAUAAUAGUAGCAGGUGUCUUAUAACCAAAUCAGAAAAUACAAUAAGUUGAUUAUACUCUAUUCUAAACAUACUUUAUAACAGAAGACAAGAGAUGGUUUUUACUUAAUUGUAACGGACAUUAGCAAAGAGAAAAGAAGGAAUUUGCUAGAGAAUUGCUGUUUACACAUAUGAGAAGGCUGAGAAACAUAUGCAAAAGACGAAAAUAUCCUUCGGUAGUUAACUGCCAAAGAAAAAGGGAAACCGGCUGCAGUUAACUACCGAGGAAAACCUCGGCAGUUAACUACCGAAGAGUGCUGAAUCAAUCCCACUCCCACUUAACCUUGCUCCAUUUCACCCAAAUCUCAGACCUACAGUUUCUUGAAUUUUCCAAACUUCAUGCGACAACAUCAAUUCUUUUGAUAUUUAUAUUUGAUUCAAAUGAAUCAAAGAUUUGGGUCUUGUGUUAUGAGUAAUCCAACGAAAAGCCAUGGCAUGAAUUAAAGUAUUGGUUGAUUUUUAUUAUCUUUCAGAUUUAAAUGUUUCCUGCUUGGGUUUAACAUCCUUCUCAUUCUUUGAUUCAAUUCAUCGCAUGGAACAGACCAAACCUAAACUAACAUAUUUCUUUCUAUCAUCUUUUUUUUAUCUAAUUUAAUUAAAUUUGUGUGCAAUUGAUGAAGUAAAGCCCACAAAAUCAUUUAAUCUUGACUCUCUUCUACAUGUGAAUGAAACAAUAUUCUUCGUAUAAAAGGAACAAACAGCUUCUGUCGAACAACAUGAGUCCAGGAAUUUCGGCACUUAAGUGCCGAUGGAUUAUACUGAAUUUAUUUCCUCGGCAGUUAACUGCCGCCGGUUUACUAAAAACUUCGGCAGUUAACUGCCGAAGGGCAUUUGAUUAAUUUACUCGUGUGGCACAGCCAAACCAAAUGUGGGAACAGCAAUUCUCAAUUUGCUAUUGUAGUCAAUCGAAAUGAGAAUUAUAAAAUAAGGAAUAGAUAGCACCAUAGAUUCUAACAUGUGACAACUCGGAUUUUAUUUGACGUGGCAAUCAAAGCACCAACGAAAAACUAAUUUGAGAUUUAAGGUGCCCCUAAUAUAGACCCCAAAAAAAGGUCCACCAAUGAACCUCCUUAUAUGACCUGCUACAACCGAUCAUCAUAAUUAAAAAAAAAAAAAAGAAUUAAUCAAUUUUAAUUAUAAAAAAAAAAGCUAGAUUGAAUCCAUACUUUUCAUCUCUCUUCUCAGAAAAUUCCUUUCCCUCUUUGUAAUUUCUUUUCAUUCAUUCUUCUCCUCUAUUUUUCAUCAAUUGCCAAUUUUCUUUCCCGAUUUCCAUGGCGGAAGUUGAAUACCAAUGCUUUGUUGGUGGACUUGCCUGGGCCACCGACAACGAAGCUCUUGAGAAAGCGUUUUUUUUUUCCUUUGUGAAAUCGUCGAAUCGAAGGUCCGUUUAUUGCUAAGAUCGGAAAUCUGACACGAAUUGGAUUUGGAUUUUCGUGAUCUCGUUCUGUUCUGUGUUCAUAUUUUUCAUCUCUCUUCUCAGAAAGUUCUUCUCAGAAAGUUCCCUUUCUUCUUCUGUAAUUUCUUUUCCUCCAUUUUUCUCCUCUAUUUUUCAUCAAUUGUCAAUUCUGAAUCUUAAGCUUCUCAAACAAAAAUUCUAAAUCUUCAAAACUUAAACCCCAAAUCCAUAAUUGUUAAUCGAUUGCAGUUUCCUUUCUUGCUUCAUAGCUGUUAAUCGAUUCCAAUUUUGCUGUUGUGGAUUCCUAGUUGUUUUAUUAUCAAACUAUUCAUUCUAAUUCCUUGGAUUCUUAUGAUUCUUUCUUCUUUUUAGGUUAAUUUCAUGUUUACUGGUUGAUGUCAGCAUUUGGAUUUGUUAGUAUUCAAAUACUUCAAAUUAGUGUUAACUGAGG